UAUUGAGGAUAUUGCAUGGGACCCUCGAAACGAGCGAUUGGCUGUUUCUGUGGAAGUCACGUGCGCCGACGUCUAUGAUGAUUCUCAAGAUGAAACAAAUUUGCCGACCAAUGAAAACGAGAUAAAGUUCGACUUUAGUCGUUUGGAAGGGGAAGAAAGACGGUAUCUUAUUGGCUUACUACAUACAAGACUUCCUUAUAAGGAUGCGAUGGAUAGAGCUCUUCAAAUCAGUUCAUUAGGAUGGAUAAGGGGUCCUGCGCUUUGUCCUCAAGCAGGACUUCUCAAGCCAACUCACUUACACUUUUUAAAAACUUGGCAAAAGGGGGCAGUUUUAUCUGUGUGCUGGCAAUCGAAAACUGAGAUGAAGAUUUCGUUUGUCCCGAUGAUGUUUAGC
Molecule: long non-coding RNA, 394 nt
Organism: Zophobas morio
Lineage: Eukaryota; Metazoa; Arthropoda; Insecta; Coleoptera; Tenebrionidae
Exons: 3
Source: RefSeq, a predicted model, not a curated record